GCUGGAUCUCAACCUGUCCGGCGCCCUUUGCGGUCUUGAUGAUGGCUCUGGAUCGAAGUGUUUUAACUGUUCCAUUGCAUUAUAUAUAUAUAUAAUAGUCCUUUUUUUUUUCAUUAUUUUCUUAUAUUUAUCAUUGAAAAUUGUAUCAUUAAAAAAAUACUACAAUAUAAAUAAUGGUCAUAUUUUUAUUUAUAAUUUGAAUAAAUU
Molecule: long non-coding RNA, 207 nt
Filed under: Elaeis guineensis (African oil palm)
Lineage: Eukaryota; Viridiplantae; Streptophyta; Magnoliopsida; Arecales; Arecaceae
Description: long non-coding RNA (EGUI_LNC026926)
Source: RNAcentral